Molecule: long non-coding RNA, 506 nt
Filed under: Prunus dulcis (almond)
Lineage: Eukaryota; Viridiplantae; Streptophyta; Magnoliopsida; Rosales; Rosaceae
Description: sRNA ncRNA
Source: RNAcentral
UUCCAAGCUCCCUAUCACAAACUUGGUUUCUUUUUGUGGGCUUUCCUCUAUAAAUAUAUAGAGAAAAGCACAACCCAAAGAAACACAGAGUUUUUACUCAGAGAAACAAGUGCAAAUGGCAAAGAAUAGCAGCAGAGUGGCAAUCAUGAACUUGAUUUUACUGCUCUCUCUUCUUCUAAUGGUUUCCAUGGCUGAGAGUAGACAACUUGGCAGUAAGAAUUCUUCCCAACUUGAUUCCUUAUUUUCCUUUAAAAUUAUUUCUUAGUUGUUCAUAUUUAAUACAUGCGUUAAUGUUUGUUGCAGUUGGAUUUGGAAAGGAAGAAACUAGCAACCCUAGUAAUAUCAAUUGCGAUUCAGUUUAUGGUGCAGAGGAGGGUGAUACAUGUGGUUCUGUUAUUGAAAAGUUCAAUUUGAGUUCUGAUUUCUUCCUCUCUAUCAACCCUAAUAUCAAUUGCGACAGCUUCUUUGUGGGUCAAUGGCUUUGUACUCAAGGCACUGUGAACUGA